Alnus glutinosa is the source of this 485-nucleotide long non-coding RNA. RefSeq lists it as uncharacterized. The transcript is spliced from 3 exons. The record is from RefSeq and is a predicted model, not a curated record. NCBI's taxonomy places the organism in Eukaryota, Viridiplantae, Streptophyta, Magnoliopsida, Fagales, Betulaceae.
UCUUCACUGAACUGAGAAAGCUUGCAAAACCCAGAGCAAAACCAGCAGGUAAAAGCAACUCUGACGUUAAGGGCUAUCAAGAUGAAGGUUUAUAUAAUAGUCAUGAGGGGAGGAGUACCAGUAGGACUCCUGGUUGUCAGUGAUCCACAGAUCUGGCCCCAUCCGUGGGCAACUUGGACUUACUGUUCUGUGGACUAGUUGAAGAUGUGGAUUUUUGUAAAUGGUAGUAGUUGUAGUAUCUGGGGACUCCUUCGUGGACAAAGACUGUAGAGCUGAUAGAUCAUAAUAGUACAAUUAUAUUUUGUGACAGAAACUGUACUCAUUUCAGUUCUUUAACUUAUGCGGUGGUUUUUUAAGCAAUGUGGAUUGCUAGCUUUUGUAUUACCACUUCACUUUUGAGCUGUAAAUAACCUCGAGCCCCAGUGUAAAAUUUUGAUACUGCUAUCAUAGUUAGUAUAAAUAUUAAUACUACUCGUGUCUUGAAA